Long non-coding RNA from Haemorhous mexicanus (house finch), 990 nucleotides. RefSeq lists it as uncharacterized. The record is from RefSeq and is a predicted model, not a curated record. The transcript is spliced from 2 exons. Lineage: Eukaryota; Metazoa; Chordata; Aves; Passeriformes; Fringillidae.
AGAGCACCAAUGGGCCUUGAACACUUCCAGGCGUGGGGCAGCCGCAGCAUCUCUGAGCAACCUGUGCCAGCCAGGUGCCAGAGGAGGCAGAAAGCCCUUCCCACCCGGAGCAGAGGCCGCUGCAGCUUUGUGCAGCCUCGUGUCACCGAGUGUGCGAGACAGAAAGGCCCUUCCCGUGGAGGGAUAGCAGCACCCAAAGAUCUUUUUCGGGAAAAGCAGAGCGAUGGAACACCAAAGUAGCCUUCAGUUCUUCAGCAGGUUUGGGAACAACUUGAAGGAGGAGCAGAGCUGGCCUGGUGCCUGCCAGCUCUGCAGGCAGUGGGGAUGGAGAAGCUGCAGUUGUCUGUCUUCUCGGCCGAGUCUUUAAAAAUGAGGCGCUUUUCUGUAGCUCCUUUUCAAGCAUUACAUGAAAGUUCCCCCUAGAAGUCCAAAGGCAGCUGUUUUCUUAGCAGAAGGAAGUCUGGAAGAGGCAAAGCAGGCAAAGACAUCAGAGGAGUCUGGAUAAAAACCUUGGCUAACCUCUUUUUCCUCCCUCUUCCAAACAGCCAAUUUUGAAGCGCUCACCAGAGAUCUGCCAGAGAUCUGGGAGGAAAAGCAGAGCCAAGCACUGAGAACUGACGUGUGAGGACUGCCGCUCCCUCUGCGUUGCUGUGGGACCUCCUGAGCUCCCAUUCCGAUGCUGGGAGUGUUUCUCCUCUCAUCCAGCCAAGCCAGAGACCUCCUAGGGAACAAGCAGCAGGUCAGCAUGAAGACUGAACGUGUAAGAAGACGUGGGGUGAAAUGGAGAAUCUGGCAGGAGCAUCCGACGCACACGUGCACGAGUUUUGCUUUUUGCUUGGAUUUCAACUCAGAAGUUGUAAGGAAUUUGGGAAUGAGAUGGGAUGUUUCAGAAGAAGAGGAAGGAGGAGAAGAGGAAGUUGUUGUUACAGUCCUGGCAAAAUCUUUUGUUCUAGCUAAUAAAAGAAGUUAAAAAAAAAAAAAGCAAAAAAA